CCCAGGAAUUCGACUAUGAUUGGGCCA
RNAcentral lists this non-coding RNA (27 nucleotides) under Homo sapiens (human). The record is from RNAcentral. Lineage: Eukaryota; Metazoa; Chordata; Mammalia; Primates; Hominidae.